UUUGUGCCCCUCAGUGUGUUCUGGAACCAAGUCUUUUCAGCCUCCCAUACGGAGGCAGGCUCAAUGUCUCUGAUUUGAUUCUUUCAGCUACUCAAAACUACUUCAAAACUUGCAUUAAUCAGCACAUCUGUGGUAGCUUUUUUCUUUCUGUAGUUAGUGUGAAUUGCCCUACCUUGCCACACUUUCUGGCUCCCAGGCCAGCCAGGCUUAGAGCUAAUCAGUCUGCUGGAACCAGUACAGGCAACCAGUGUGCUUGUCCCUGACAUAUCUGAAAUUAUGCCUCUGACUGGCAUAGCUGUAAUUGUCUGUAAUUGAUCUUUCACUUUUACCCUGCAGAGGAGGCUCUUUGGCAGGGCAGAGCUCAGGGUAAGUCUGUGGGGAUGUUUUGAAGUUCAUGCUGCUUUACAGCCCCUUCUGCUAGAGAGGUUUUGUUGAGCUUGCCACGGUCAAAAAGGUUGUGUGUAAAAUGAAGGUGUUUUUAAAAUGCUAAUUGGCUAUGACUUGGCAUUAAUGCAGCAGUACAGUCUGACAGAGAUGCAGCCCAAAAGCACGUGAGACUUGACAAUGAUGUCUUUCACAAAGGAAAGCCUUAAAUUUGAUAAUGAAUGCACUUACACUACAGUAUAAUGUAUUCCCAAAGACAAACACUCCCCUCAUCUUGUAUGUGCUGCUGCCAGCCACUGUGCUGUGUGCUGACUCAGAACAUCCUUAUCUUCUUGCACAGCUUCUGUAAAAGGCAGGAAAUGCCAGGACUGGAAUCCAGUUUUCAUGAGCAAAUUGAUGCAAACAGAAUGGUGUCUUGACCUGUGAAAGGUGGAUUGGAGCACAGAAUCUUCUGUUUGUGUAGGUGGAAUAUUUCAGGGGGUGCUCCUAAGACUCACUGCUGCAGACACCUCAGUUUUGAGGUUGUGUGGAGUUGACUAGAAGCUUUCCAAGACAAGCUCAAGAUGGUGAAAUGCUGGUAAUUCCAGGUAAACCUCUACAAAGGCGACGUUUCCUCCAUUGUCUGAAGUGGUAGAUUUGAUGACAAAAGCAGUAAUGGAGAAAACAUUAUUGUCUCACUAAAUCCAGCAAAUUUUCUACAAGAGAACUGAAGUGGCAUUGCAAAAAAAAGCUUAUAACAGAAACAUGCACAAGCAUCCUGAGCUGACAGACUAAACAGCAUUCUUGGGACUGAGCAAGAAGCCUGGCAGUCUCUGCUAAAGGCAGGGUAAGAGUGGAAUAUCAGCAAAAUCACCCUGAAAAAUAAUAGGUGGACUAUAUAUAAGAGAAGGAUGAAGUGGGUUAGGUUGGAAGGGGCCUUAAAUUCAUCUUGUUCCAACCCCCCUGCCAUGGACAUGACACAUCCUACUGACCCUGGCUAAUUCACUCUUUUACAUGAAAUAAAGGAAAAGGAAAAUAAUUGAGGUAUUAGUGAGCUGAGCUUUGGAUAAGGAAAAAUGAAUUACUAGCUCAUUCCACUGCAGGGAACAAACAAUUUAGCAGUAGUGUUCUCAAAAUAGUUUAUUAUGCUCAAGUAGGUGUACAGGUGUUUCCUACAGGAAGGACUGAUGAGGAGACCUAAUCUGAGAUGAUUUAAAAUCUCACCCAUAGUCUUCUAUGGAGUUAUGUUGAGGGAAUUUGGAUUAUGAUGAAUAUUACUACUGUAACAUAGAGUGUUAAUCAUGAACAAGCUGGUCUAGUGGGAGAUGUCCCUGCCCAUGGCAGAGGGUUGUUUGGAACGAGAUGAUCCUUCAGGUAUCUUCCAACCCAAACCUUUCUGUGAUUCUUUGAGCAGGACCUCUUUGUGCAAGUGACAGAUGUGCACCUUUGGAAUGUCAGCUGCCUUCUAAGCAGGUCCCAAUUAAUGCAGAAUGUUUUAGGUUACUAUUAAUGCAUGCAAAUUAAUUUUCUGCAAACUAAAUUUAAAAAAUUAUGUAGUCAAACAUUCUUGAUUUAGCUGUCUCCUGGUUUAAUUUUUGAAGAUUUAGGAGUGUUAGUGGAAAGAAAAGCAUUUCUACCUGUAAUAUUUGAUUUAACAGAGCUGUAACUUAGCCUGUUAAGUUGAAGUGUUACCAAGUGGUUCCUUGUGAAAAAGCAGUGUAAGUCCAGGAGGCCCAGAGGGACUAGUGAAAGGAUUUCUAUUUUUGCAAAAGGUCAUUUUGAACUUUUGACUCUGAAACUGGGGGCUUGUUCUUGACCUUGGCAUUUCUGGUCUCUGGACGGAGGGUGAUCAAGAGUAUUGAAAAGAGAGCUAUAGAAGAGUACCCGUUUUCACUUAAUGGAAACUGACACUCUUGCAAGGAUGUGAAAACCUUUUUCUGUCAGCCAACCCUCCUAUUCACAAUGUAAAUGACUGCACUUCUCCCACUGGGCAAAAUGGUGAAUUUGUUCAGGCCCAAAUAUGUCUUUUCAUUAUGCAACUUUACCCCCUUCUAUCAAAAGCAGCUUUUUUUUCACACAGUAACAUGGUUUCCCCACUGUUUUUGUAGUCGUAAGAAUUUGAGUGCAGAAACAGUGGUGUGGUGUUUUGGGAAUUGCAUGCCAGCUAAAGCAAUUCCAGGCAUUGUUCUCCCAGCUGUAUUUCCACCCCUCUGUGGACCCCCCACUUCAGCUUUUCCAGGUUAGUGGGAAGUCAAGAAUUAAUGAAGGUAAAAUUACAUGAAUGCCUAAAAGAUUAAUCUGUGCUGAUUAUUUCCUUCUUUACAGGGAAUCAAAUAUCUCCUAACAUGAACAAAAGUCUCUAACAUGGUGAAAAGUUUGAUGCUGCUUGAGAAUGUCCUUAACCUUCAAAGUGCUAUGUUAAUAUCUUACAGUCAGAAUUAUGUGCAGCACAGUAGGGUCACCGACAGUAAACCAUGAAUGGGUCAUAGCACUUACAGAACAGAAGUACCACAUAAAUUCACAUUCAUAAAUAGCAUCUGGAGUCCCCUAGGACAGGAAAGGAAGUAUACUUGAGCUUUCUCAUACUUUCCCUCAGUAUGUGAAACAUUAAAAGAAUUACUUCUUAUUUAAGGUGACUAAGUGUAAAGGGAUGUACAUAUAAAUUACUGAGAUCAAGCUCUUGGGGCCGGAUUAUAACAUUUUGUUGAGCUUAUUAUGAUUGAGGUUCGUUCUGUAUUUGGAGUUUCUGAUUAUGUCAGCCUGUCAAUCAGAAAAUCUUGACCCACGCUGCUUAAGAUGUAUUUGGCACCUAACAGCAAGUGGUAGGAUUAACAAAUCAAGUGAACUAUCUGCUGUGCUUCCUACAGGGUCCAUUUGCAGAGCUCUGUCUGAAAUGUCACUGCCCUGCAGAGAUGAGGUUGUAGGACACUAGAAAGAGGUGUUGUUUUAUAUGACUAGUCAAUAUAAAAACAUGAUUCAGAGUGGGAAUUCUAACAAACAACAAAGCCGUGACCCAGGUUUUGAAUAGCCUGCAAAAAGCUUGACUAUAUCAGUGUCUAGAGAUGCUAGUGGUUUUCUUCCCAUGACUGAUAAACAUUUGGAAGUGGAUAUGACUUGAAAGAGAGAGUCUUUAGUAGGUCACACUUCUAGUAAAGUUUCAUUGAUCGUAUUUUCUGUACAGGUUGAUGUUAAGGAUAAUUUUUGUGGUUGAUAAACCUGAUCAAUUCUACUAAGUCAGUAAGUUGUUUAUGAUAUGAGGGUAUCUAAUACCUUGUUGGCUGUGGCACUGCUGUUUAGAUAGAUCAUAAUACAUCUCCCAAGGAUUUAUAAAAUUUGCAGAAAUGGGACCUUAAUGUGCAUAUUUAGUAUUACUACUGAGAAACUGUUGAUUUGCAGAUGGUUUAUGGCUUAAAAGUGCUUCAGAGGCCUACACAGUAGGAGCUUAAAGACCAUUGGAAAGAUAAGUCAUUUUUUCCAGUUCAGAACCAUCCUUGCCCAGCUCCCCAGAAGGGCCUUGCCACUCAGCCAGCCUGGUGUAAACCUGUAUUGUUACUGUUCUGUGACUUCUGUGCAAGGCUAGAGUAACCCCCAAAGUACCUACAGGCACAUAAGACAUUAGUCUCCUCUCACUUAGCAAUGCAGGACCAAACAGGGAUUCUUGUGUGGUUAAAUCCAGGUCCUUGUGGGAGCUUGUGGCCUAUACCAUUCAUGACUCUACCAGGCUUCAUCUUUAAACUAAUUAGGUUACUUGUUCCACUGGGAGGUUGCUUCAAAACCUGGCUUUCUUGUGUUGAAACUGCUCUAAUUUACUGUCCUAGCAAGAGUCCAUGGAAAUUGAUAUCACCCGUGACAACAAGUGCCAACAGCCCUCUAAAGAGUCACUCGUCAUAGGUACUUCAUAUUGCAGAGUUUCCUUGAUUUCCCUUUUCCUGCUGGCUUGCUUUUGCUUUUGAGUAGCAUCUUGCAUAUGGAAAAGUGCCCUGGGUUGCCUUGUUCUUGGAUUUACGUAGUAAAAAUGCUGUCUUAUUUUUAUUUUAAAACAGUUCAUCAUAUUUGCACAAACAAGCUGAAUAAUCAGCCAGCUAUUGUGUCUUACAGUUAGCAAACAGCACAGCUGGCCCAGCUUCUGUGCACCCCAGCAAUUAGUUCAGACUGACUCUCUUGGAUUGUUUUUGCUGUAUCUUGGAUCUCAAUUGGUGGUUUGCAGCACUGACUCACACACUCUCUACAAAGUUUUUCUAUGGCUCUACAGACACUAAAUUUCCUUUUGGUUAUACAUGAAAUCAUGACACCAUUGAUAUAUUUUUGCUUGUAAUAUUUUUGCUUGCAUCCCUCUGUGGGCCGGAUUCUGCCCUCCUAGCCUGCCUAAAUAAAUCUUUCUCAUUUGAUGCCAUCAUGCCAGGCUACUACUGCUCUUCCAGCAGCACAGUGUAAGACUAUCCUGAACAAAUAUUCCAGUGGUUUUUAGCUCUCCUUCAUUGCUGCACACCUACAACUGCUCCUGUGAGUUUGGGGAACUGCUGUCCUGAUGUUACUGCUUUGUGUGUGUCUGGCCUUCAAGCCUGCAGAGUCCUUCAGUGGAGGGAUUGUUAAAGUCAUGGGAGAGUCAACACUUUCCAAUCCUGGCUCUGCAGCUGUGCACAGCCACCAGUAAAUCAUGCUCCCCUCUCAGUGGGAAUUAGCCAUGCACUGACAGGCUGUGGAUAUAAAUAACAACGUGUGUGGAACUUGAGGUGCAUUCAAUUGGUCUGUCUGAUAAUAAAAUAAUUCACUGGCA
This is a long non-coding RNA of Passer domesticus (house sparrow), 5140 nucleotides long. RefSeq lists it as uncharacterized. The transcript has 2 exons. NCBI's taxonomy places the organism in Eukaryota, Metazoa, Chordata, Aves, Passeriformes, Passeridae. The record is from RefSeq and is a predicted model, not a curated record.